This is a long non-coding RNA of Pseudopipra pipra, 9225 nucleotides long. RefSeq lists it as uncharacterized. The transcript has 3 exons. NCBI's taxonomy places the organism in Eukaryota, Metazoa, Chordata, Aves, Passeriformes, Pipridae. The record is from RefSeq and is a predicted model, not a curated record.
ACUCCUCGCACUUCAGCGAGUGCAACUAGUUGCCUCUCACGCACAGGAACGUAGAAAGUUUCUCUGGCAAGGGACAGGACUUUCCUAAGAAAAGGUAACCCCCUCUCGCUCUCCCGCCCAGAAAGGCCGUCUCGGGAGCGCGGAGGUAAGGGGCGAGGACCGCGGGAGCCAGCGCAGUCAGGGACGCGCGGCUUCGCACUUGUGCCAGGAGCUGCCGCCGGGGCUGCGCCCUGUUCCGGCCCCUACCUCGGCACGGCAGCCCGGCUGUCCCGUUGCCCACCCGCCGCCGCCCCGCUCAGCCCUACUAAGCCCCGCUCAGCACGCCUGCGCUGCCGCUGCCCCCGGCCCCGGCACACCGCGGCGGGCAUGGACCGCCGGUUUACCCGGCCACCAGACAACUCCGAAGUGUCCCUCCCGGCCUUCCCCGGCCUCGCAGCCCGGGGCCUGGGCCUUUCGCCUUUGCUACUCCCUGACAUCUGCAGUGAAUAGUGAUGCGAGCAAAGGAGAGGGCCCUGAAGGGUCACAGGUUGACUAAUGCCAAUCCACUCGAGUACAGGUAGCGAAGUCUCCACUUGACUUUUUCCAUUUGUUUCUUCUACAAGAAACCAAUACUAUAAAGCAAUCCUGAGUUUUUGGAAGGACUAUGAGUGUAUGAAUGAUCAAGUGCUACACAACAGGAGUGGUUGGUGUACCCUUUUACAUAAUGCAUUUGUCUGCUUAUUCUCAAGCUGGCCAGUGUGGAUGGAGGCAAAGUCCUUUCCUGCUCUGAAAGUGAACGCUCUUUUCUGCAGAAAAUUCAGCAGCUCCAUAUGGUCUUUCUUGCUACUUAGUGUGGGGAAGCGGAAGAAAACCUAUAAUUGCUUAGUCACAUUUCAUGCUCUUACCCUUCACCUUGUUUUAUUUCCUAAGUAUUAUUUCACUGCGUGGAUUGAGUGGCUCUUGUCCAACCAGCUGCAUCACCCUCUUUUUGUCAAGUUAACUUCACUCUCCAAAGGGUGUAAGUCAAAAAUUUAAAAGAGGAGGCAAAGUUAAGCCCUAUAUUCAGAGAGAGACGUGAGAGAAAACUCUUGGUUUUCAGAAGUACUGAAUGUCAGAAGCUUUUGAGGUCAGCAAGUCACCUGCAAUGAGGGGGGGAAAAAUAUGGAUUUGUGAAGAUUCUUUCCUACCUGCCUUCUCUUUCCUUACGUUGCAUUUGGUGAUACUAUUUAAAGCAUAACUUAAGCUGUUUGCCUUUGAAUUUCAUAAUUUGCAUUCAAUGAAUUGUACUAACAUGGUCAUCUCUUUCCUAAAUAAUUUCAGGCUUAAGAGAAGUAAAUCUUCAUGAAAACAAGUCUAUAAAAACCUUGUAUUUGCUGUCUUGGAUAACAGCAAGAUAACAGACUUAUCAGAAAGAUAACAGACUCAGAAAACACUUUUGACCUACAAAAAUACAACUAGAAAAUCUUUUAAACUAAAAAAGCCUCCAAAAGCCAACCUUCAAAUUGUCAUAGUGUGGGACAAGCCCGAAAUACAAAAUGAAUUUUGAAACUGAGAGCUCAGAGAGUAACUGGAAAGGGAGAAAACUCAGAUUUGUGGGAGUAAUUGUAAUUGACAACUCUGCCACAGACUAGGUUGUGACUAGUGCCAGCAUGCAUCUUGCUAACAGGCUCCUUCAGCAGGGAAACAUGCUAACAACUCCUUCCUUUCUAGAGGACUUCUUGUGAAUGGCGCGCAGUGGUCUAACCUGAGGUACUCAAGCACGGUAAUAAUGAAGGUCUUUUGAAGUCUGGUUUCUUUCCACUUCAAUGAAGCAAAUUCCUUUAAGGGGAAUAGUCCCCUAGUAACAUCGGUUGUUUUAAUAGACAUAUCACUUUAAAGCAAGCUCUUAAACAUCUGUUGCACUCUCUCUUAAAAUGUAAGGUACAGCUGACUUGAAAGAUUGCGUGUAUCUUUGCUCAGUGUAACUUGCUUCAAAUUGAGGAGAGAUGGGAGGGUUGCACUGUUGUUACAUGGUAUGGUCCCAAGACAAGUCUCCCAGUAAGGGGCCUGGUCUUGAUGUCGUUGGAUCACGUUGCUAUUUUGGUAUUCAUUUUGGUGAGAGUGAGCAGGGUCGUACCAGAUGUAAUGAGUGUUUGGUCUGGGUCAAAAGGGACUGAGGGGAGUCCUACAGAAACAGAUCUCCUAACCAAACAGUUUUUCACAGUGAUUUAUUGUAAAUGUGACUUUCACGGGUAGGAAUUAAAUGAUGAUUUUGUUAAAUCAAUGUCUUUGGGCUGAAGUAAAUUCCAGUGAGCUCAGUGGAAGUGAUUUCAGAAGGCCAAAAUGUAGUACAAUACACUGGUUCAAAUAAAUUGAUUCUGUGUGACCAUGGAAAAGGUCAUGCUAGAAAUAGUCCUAAGAGAGCCCAAGGAAGGUCUGUAGGGCCCACUUUUACACCAGAAUAGAAGAAUAAUACCUUAUCUAUUUAAAGCAAUAGGGGAAUGUAAGUAGGCAAGAUGUAAUUAUAUAGAUUGGUGUUUGGCCAGGCACUCCAAAACUACCAAAACCAGGCACUACCAAAAACUACCAGGGUGUUUAAUGUCCACAAGUGCUUGGUAUCCUUGGUUUUACCUCUUAAAUAAAGACAGCACUUGUGAUCAUAUCGUUUAUGCUGGUUCAAUACUGAGUCAGCAGAAGAAUGUCACCUUGCACAAAUACCCAUUCACACAGUAACUUGGAAUUUCCUUGGAGGUCUUCCAUGCAAAUACUAUAGACCCAACCCUAUUUACCUUGGGAAAUGUAGUGAGAUUACAGCCAUAAGUAGUAUGGCUCCAGAGAAUCAUGUUUGCAUAUGUUGCUAAAAACAAUAUGGACUUUGAAAUAUUUAUAAGUAAUUUUUAAAUUAAAGCAAUAUUUUUUUACAUUGUAUCUCAGUAACAACAAGGUUUUGUUGUUGUUUAAGCAAAGGGAUUAUACUUAGUUAUUCUGAGAAAAACUAAUGACAGACAGUCGCUAUUUUGGCAAUGUAUCAUGAUUAUGAUUUAUUGAAGUGCCUACCAUAUGCUGCAUCCAUUUAGGUACCUGUCGCAAUUUUGUUUUACAAAAGCAGAGCUUUGAAAUAUGGCUUCUUAUUUUCAGGUUCAAGUAUGAAAUCCAAAAGCCUGUUAAUUAGGCAAAGUGUGUUGAUCUAUAUACUUCAGGUAAUUAUUGGUGCUUCAUGGCUUUAUAGUCAUAAAAAGAAAGAAUGAAUGGGGGUUCUUUUGACUUGGUUAUCAGAUUUCAGGUUUAAAAAGAAGGUGACACACCCUUUUCAGUAAUUCGACAUGCAGGGUUCAGCUGUGGGUUCAAAAACAGGUUACAACUGGCUAGUCAUUGUGCUCUUGAAAUGCCAACUGUGCCUUUAAGUAUGUUAUAUAACCUAUUUUUUGGUUUCAGUUUUCAAGUAUGGCAUCAUUUCAGUGUUAUUUGGAUUUCCAUAUAUUUUUUAAUCCAAACAAAUCUGACCUCAAUCAUAAGGUUCCAUGGCUCCAAAUAGCUGAGCUUUUCUAAUAUUUUAUUUUGAGUGCCUACGUUCAAUACUUCAUCACAUAGAUAUGUGCUGCAGACUGUGCCAAAUACUGUGCCAGGGAUGUCCUCAAUUAUCUUCAGUGCUUACCAGGAGAGGGCUCUGUUCUGCAUACCAUACACAGAAAAAAGUCCUACUGAAAUUAGUGUGGGUUUUGAUUCUAAAGCUUGCUUGAAAUGAAGCUGGCUAAGUGCAAAUGAAAACCUACAUUAUUUCAGCUGCCUGUGGAGGCGGAAUGAGGUGUGCUUGAUAAUCUUAAUUUGUAUCCUGCUAUUACACCAGGAUCUUUUUUUCCUUCCUGGGAGAGACCCAGUCUGCUUCCUGCAAGGUACCUUUCUGUCAUGUUUUGUGUAGGUUUCAUGAGGUUUCAUUUAAGUAAUCUACAGAGCUGACCCAGAAAAAAUAUUGGGCCAUAUAUUUUUGUUUAAUGAACCAUGUUUUCCUUGAUCAUUGUGGGAUACAAAAACUAUGUCUGCACUGAUCAGGGACAUAGAUCUAGCACACAGAUCUGUUAACUUACUUCUUGGUGUGGUUUUGCUCUCAUCAGUUAGUGUUCGCAUAAAAAAUGCCCUGGUGGAGUUCGAGGUGUGGUAUGGGUCAAGGACGAUUCCUGGUGCUUUGACUAGUCCAGGUAUUCAUCCUAUGCUGGAGAAUGAGACAGUUGAUAAUGAGAAUUUUGGCUUUCCAGAAACGCUGCUCUGACAGAUGGCCUCAGGUCAGAAAGCAAUCUUCAGAUAAUUUCCUAGUGCAGAUGUAGCCUGAAAGUCAGUCUUAGUCCUGUUCCAGAGACAACAUUAGGUCAGGUUGUUGGGGAGGUAAGAGAACUGUCAGGGCUGGCAUUACCUCACCUCCAGAGCCUCUGGCACUGGGGGAGAACUGAGGGUGUGCCCCACACCCAUCUAUGUUUAUUCUGGCUGUAGAAUUUUGUUUCAGAUUUCAUUUCAUCAUAAAUAAAAUAAAGAGUAAUCCAUGGAUGAUUUAUAAAAAUGUGAAUAUUUUAAUCUGUUUCAUUAAACAUUAGUGCUGCUGCUUAAUGUAAUUCCCUUGAAUUUACUUUUUAAUCAGUUUCAUGUUAGAUGUAGUUUCCUCAGUUUUUGAUUACUUCUAGGAAUUUCCACCAUAUUUUAAAACGUCUCUCUGGUUAUUUUUAUCCAUUUACAACAUUCUUCAAUGGAAUAACUCUGAUAUGGCUACCAUGCUAUUUUUAAAGAUCUAUUUAAAGCAUCCUCAAAACCUGUAAGACGUAAAACCCAGCAUUUUGAAAAUGGUUUUUGGUUACGUAUAUAGGUAGCAUAAACCAAAGACAUCAUUUACUGUCAUUAAUCAGAAAUGAUCUGUGUAAGUGAGUAGUUGUGUUUGUUAUUCAACUAUCAGCAUGUUGAGGUUUCCAGUGAAACCAAUAGUAAACCAUUCAUCAAUGUCAUCGUCAGGAGGAUUGGGCUUGUUAUGCAAUAAACUGAAAUACAGAUUCACACCAAGAACUUUUUACUACUCUGUAACAUCAUAUUGUUGCUGUAUUGCAUUAUAGUAUAAUAACAUGUAGUCAGUAAAGAAUUAUUUGCCAUAAGUUUUUUCACAUCUUUUAUAGAAGUAAAAAUGACAUUGCCAAAUGACACUACAAAUUAUUACCAUUACCAUAUAUUACCAUUACCUAAAAAUAACUCUGUUACUUCCAGAAGCAUAAUUGAAUUCAAUUCUCCAGUAGUACAAGAUUAAAUGAAUUUCAGGCAAUUUCACUCAUUUAUUUGCAGGUGGUGUGCAAUAGAGGAAGGAAACAGAAAAACUAUAAAACGAAAAGCAGAGAUUAAAAAAAAUUAUGCCAAAGAGUAUUUGCAGAAAACCUGUUUUAUUUCAAAGUACAAGUUCCUUUCACCUGUUGAAAUGUUCGGUUCAAAGACUAGACAUUUCUGAACAUGUACUUUAUAGCUUCAGUAUAAUCUAUAAGUAUAUGUAGAUAUAAACUGCCAGUUUAUUUGCUGAAUUGUCAUAAUGGUAGUAGGCAGAAAACCAGGCAUAGUAUUUAGGGAUAAUCAUUCUUCCUUUUCGGUAAGUAUUGCAGUGUUGUCUUGUGUUGGGGUUCUCCUGACCACACUCUUCAGGUGUUGUUUUUUGUGAGGACCUCAUCCUGAAUCUCAGAGAUAUCAAUUAGAAAUAAACUGAUUAGGUUAUUUUAAGGACAUUUAAACAGCAGUUGUAGAGGUCUGUUUUGUACAUGGCUGUUAGUUAAUCCUGAGGUUACACUCCUUAUUAAAUCAUUCUUUAUGCAUUUCAAUAUUAAGAUGUCCAGCAAGAGGUUUGUUCCAUUCUGAUUGUGAAAUAAUAAGCAUACUCUGAAAGAAUCACUUAAGUUCAUGGCUUGUGCAUUCUUCCAAUGGGUCUAGUAUUUUAUGUAAUAUAUUAGUAGUUAUUAAUAUAGUUAUUAUAUUUAUAUUUGGUUACUUAUUAAAAUUUACUCAUAAUUUAUACAUUCUGCUUGGAGGUCUUACUGCACUUUGUAAAAGCAGAGGUAGGCAUGGUCUCUGCCCCAGAGAUCUCACCAGCUAGUCCCAUGUAAACCACACAAAAGAAGUUACUAAAAAAAUUUCCUCUGACAUGGUAGUCCACUGGUUGAAGUCAGUGGAAAGAAGCACUUCUAUUUUAGUAUUAACUGGAACAUGUCUUGCUGCAUAUCUGUAGAUUUUUUGGGGACAUUAUUACUGCAGUUACACUGGACUGCAUGAAUGACGGAACAGUCUUUCAGCAGAGAAAUAACGGAUUGUUUGAUGUACUUUCUGAAACCACCAGCUCCACAUUAUAAGGAAGUUUGCAGUUAGGCAACAGCUGUCCUGGGACAGGAAAAGGAAGCUUUUGGCAACAGUCUCCAAAGCAGUCCCAAGUAGUGUAAAACAGAAGGCAGAGGUUCAUCAAGAACAUCUUUGCUGUUGCAGUGAAAAAGAGAGUAGAGGAGAUGGACACAAAAGAUGUGGACCACUGAUGAUGAGAAAGCAACUAACAUAAAUCUCCACUCCUUGCCCUAUAGCACACCACUUCAUCAAAAGAUGUACAAAGUACUCUUCCUCCUCCCUUUUUGCAUUAGUUGACUACACUUGUGACUGGCUGUGAAUGUGAGUGCUUUAUUAGCAUUUGAAUAAUCUGUACUGCUGUGCAAAUGAGACUGAAGAUUGAACUCCACGGAAAAAUAAAAAAAAAUAUACAUAUUCUAAAAGGUGACAGCCUGUGUUUCAUUUUCCCUUCUCCAUAUCCUGUUCUGGCAAAACUUUUCUCCACUUCUGACUUAAUAAAAGCAUAUACACAUUCUGAGAUUUUUUUUUAAAUACACAUUUUUAUUAUUCACACUUUUGAAGCUCAGAGAGGGACCAAUUUAGAGGGCCUAAAUUCUGGGGAGAGUUUUGUUCUGGAAGCAAUUAUUUUUAUUGAGAACUAUUGAUGAGGUGAUUACCUAAAAAUUCAGUGGCAGGAAAUUGAAGAGGAGGCAAUUUCUGAGUUUUGAAAGAUCAUCAAUAACAAGUGAAAACAAGUCAGGUUUCUCCAUGGAUUGUUUACACAAGAGUAGUUGUUGAUAAAUGAACUUCAGAUUGGGUAUUAGAGGUACAUAGUGUGCAAAGUGUAAUAACAGUUUUACUGCUCAGAGCUUGUGAAGACUGCAUAAUUUAUAGGCAAUUUACUCAAGCAUUGCAAACAAUUAGUAAAAUCCUUAUAGCAGUCCUCCUCAUCGUGCAUCCUGAAAACAGGCAGCAACUUUUAAAAUAAUUUUACUCUAUAGUGGAAGGAGUUUAACACUACCUACGUGGGGAUGAGAAUUAAUAAAUAAAUAUUUUCAUAGGUAAUAUAAACCAUAGUUACGAUGCUCAGAUGUAUGGUGUCAUGGCUUUGCUCUAACAGUGUAGUAGUUAAGACAUGGAAUUACCAUAGUUGGCAGCGAGAGGAAAUGCUGUUUCAGUUGUGUAAAUACACUGUUAGUUGUGAAAAGUCAGAGAUUAAUUGACUUUGAUGAAUUGAUAAGGAGGAGGGCGACCAGUGCUGGAGCCUUUUCCUCGUUCUGCCAGGUUCCAGAUGAUGUGGCAGAGAGGUUUUCCUGCAUUCCUUCCUGGUACCUUCACUUCUGAAGAUGAAUGGUAAUGGCAUCGAUGUCAAAGAGCCAGGAGAAGAGCGGGAAUGCUCUUGUAUCAGAUUUGCCUUCACCUAUUUGAAAGUUUAAAAACCAUUUUGUCGUGGUUAAAGACUUUCAGGAGGAAAAGAUUAACAGAGGGCAAGUGAAGUAGUAAGAUUACUCAGGUAUUCAGGAACCUUCUUACUUGUCUUGUUUGGUAUUGUGCAUACUGCUGUGAAUCAAUCAUAAUGUGAAACAGGAUUUCUAGUAGUGAGAAGUACUGCUGAAGUAACUAAUACAUUAUUUAAAAAAGUAUUUAUUACAAAAAGGUGUCUGUUUCAGCAAUUAUUCUCAAGUGGAACAAUCUGGAAAAAUAAAGCAAUACGCCCCUGACAUACCUGCUAGCUCUCUAUGGAGGAGGUAGAUUUUCUGCAUCAGAAAAAAGAAGUUUCUCAGUCUCUAUAGGUAGAAAUGUGGUGGCAUUUUUUCCCUACUGUCACUAAUAUUUGGGUGAAAAUUAGAGUAAGGAAAAGUAAUCUCUGUAAUUUUAAUUCUGAGAAGUACUUGGCAAUUAAAAUUCUUACAGGUUUUAAUGAUGAAGAAACAGGCCUAAAGAACAAAGUUAAAAGAGAUCUUGUGUAGGAGAGAGUUCUUGGUCUGAAUUGUACUGAAGUUCUGUAGUAGUUGCAGCCUGUAUUAUUAUCUGCGAGAAAGGCCCAUGGAGGGAGGACUUACACUCUUGUAGCAGCUGAAUUUGGUGAAAUUUAUAAUGCUGAGAUAACAAGGUGUUGACAUUGGCCCAUAUCUUUUCCUCUUGUGAUUGCUUUCUGUUUGAAGUGAUUCAGUGUAUAUUAUAUUUGUAUUGCAAAUAUCACACUUGUAGUUUGUUUACAAAUGCUUGAGAGAUUUAUUGUCCUUAUUAUAUUUUAUUCUCUAAAUUAUAUAUGUAUUUCAGUUAAAUUAGAAUUUCAUGUCAUUUUAGCAAGAUUAAUAGAUAGCUUAGUAAUACUUCACAUUUAAUAGAGUUUCCUUAAGAUUAAGGCACCAUUCCUUAUGCCCUAAUUUAGUCUCUUGGGAACUGCCAGUUCAUUUUCUAUUGUGUUUCUCUGGAUUUUUUUCAUUUUAGUUUUGGCAUCUUCCACUCACAUUGUAAAAUAAUUCCAUUAGUAUUGUCAGAAUGCAGAAAUUGUGUUUUAUUAAAAGAGUACUUAACAGCUUUUUGAUAUUUCCCUGGCAAUUAUACACCCGUGAUGUAAAGUGUACGUCUUGUAAUAUGCAUAAAUAUUUCUAGCACUAUUUUAUAGAAAACAAGGAAAUAAAGCAUGAAUUAUUAUUUUCAGGAAACCACAAAAUCUGAGUUUGCAGAAAUCCAGAGCUUUGAUUACCCAGGUACCUCAGAUUAUAAGGCUGUAAACAAAUCCUCUGUCUACAGAAGAGGCAGGUGGUGAAUGUUGUGAGCAAGACUUCUUCCACCUCCACAGGAAUCCUAAGCUAGUAUUCUCCCUGGUGUUUGGGUAAGUUGCAAAUACUAAGUAUAUGAGAAAACACACAUGUCAAAAGUCAAGAGAAGAGGACGAAGAAAACCACAAAUAUGUAAAAAAUAAACUUUCAG